This 297-nucleotide long non-coding RNA is filed under the name Hordeum vulgare. RNAcentral's name for it is "long non-coding RNA (HVUL_LNC015896)". The record is from RNAcentral. Lineage: Eukaryota; Viridiplantae; Streptophyta; Magnoliopsida; Poales; Poaceae.
GAUUCUUUAUAAGUUACUUAGUGGUAGAUUUUGUUUUUUUGCUAUUUAGUGCUAUCUAGGUUUAGCGAUAGGUUUAGUUAGCUUGGUUAGUUAGGUUAGUUAGUUAGUUAGAUUAAUAGAAAGAAUAGGAAGAAGAAGAAGAGGAGGAGGAGGAGAAGAGGAGAAGAGGAGGAGGAGAAGAAGAAGAAGAAGAAGAAGAAGAAGAGGAGGAGGAGGAGAAGACAAAAAUAAGAAGGACAAGAAGAAAAGAAGAAAAAAGAAGAAGAAGAAGAAGAAGAAGAAGAAGAAGAAGAAGAA